Molecule: ribosomal RNA, 754 nt
Filed under: Diversispora celata
Lineage: Eukaryota; Fungi; Glomeromycota; Glomeromycetes; Diversisporales; Diversisporaceae
Description: eukaryotic LSU rRNA
Rfam family: Eukaryotic large subunit ribosomal RNA
Source: RNAcentral
GCAUAUCAAUAAGCGGAGGAAAAGAAACUAACAAGGAUUCCCCUAGUAAUGGCGAAUGAAGAGGGAAAAGCUCAAAUUUUAAAUCUACCUGGUUCCCAGGUCGAGUUGUAAUUUGAAGAAGCGAUAUCGGUGUGGAGGUCUGGUUCAAGUUCUUUGGAACAAGACAUCAUGGAGGGUGAGAAUCCCGUGCAUGAUCAGACCAAGAUACUUAAUAUUCGCUUUCUAAGAGUCGAGUUGUUUGGGAAUGCAGCUCAAAAUGGGUGGUAGACUUCACCUAAGGCUAAAUAUCAGCGAGAGACCGAUAGCGAACAAGUACUGUGAAGGAAAGAUGAAAAGAACUUUGAAAAGAGAGUUAAAUAGUACGUGAAAUUGUUGAAAGGGAAACGAUUGAAGUCAGUCAUGCUAGUGAGAAUUCAGUUUGGUGGGUUUUGGGUCAGGAGUUGAGGCAGGGUCAAACCGUUUCUCUUUUGAACUUGGAAUUUGUCAGAUGCACUUUUUCUUUGGCAGGUUAGCGUCGAUUUCGGAGGUUGUAAAAUACUUGGGGAAAAGUAGCUCUGCUUCGGGAGAGUGUUAUAGACCUUGGGUGAUGCGGCCUGCGGGAUCGAGGAUUGCAGCAAAUGCUUUUGGCUUGUCGCCUGAUCUCUGGACGUCAUCUGGCUUGUAUCAACAUUCUUGGUACCGGUGAGUAAUGGUGCUCAUAGGUUAGAGCGAUCAAAAAUUUGCUAAGGAUGCUGACGUAAUGGCUUUAAACGAC